This 335-nucleotide unclassified non-coding RNA is filed under the name soil metagenome. Its description in RNAcentral is "partial contains 5.8S ribosomal RNA, internal transcribed spacer 2, and large subunit ribosomal RNA". The stretch from base 1 to 120 matches the Rfam family "5.8S ribosomal RNA", at positions 35 to 154 of the family's 154-position model. The record is from RNAcentral.
GAUGAAGAACGUAGCGAAAUGCGAUAAGUAGUGUGAAUUGCAGAAUUCAGUGAAUCAUCGAAUCUUUGAACGCACAUUGCGCCCCUUGGUAUUCCAUGGGGCAUGCCUGUUCGAGCGUCAUUUGUACCUUCAAGCUCUGCUUGGUGUUGGGUGUUUGUCUCGCCUUGCGCGUAGACUCGCCUUAAAACAAUUGGCAGCCGGCGUAUUGAUUUCGGAGCGCAGUACAUCUCGCGCUUUGCACUCAUAACGACGACGUCCAAAAGUACUUUUUACACUCUUGACCUCGGAUCAGGUAGGGAUACCCGCUGAACUUAAGCAUAUCAAUAAGCGGGGGA